Molecule: ribosomal RNA, 405 nt
Filed under: uncultured bacterium
Lineage: Bacteria
Description: partial 16S ribosomal RNA
Rfam family: Bacterial small subunit ribosomal RNA
Source: RNAcentral
AUUGAACGCUGGCGGCAGGCCUAACACAUGCAAGUCGAACGAGUGGCGGACGGGUGAGUAAUGUCUGGGAAACUGCCUGAUGGAGGGGGAUAACUACUGGAAACGGUAGCUAAUACCGCAUACCAUCGGAUGUGCCCAGAUGGGAUUAGCUAGUAGGUGGGGUAACGGCUCACCUAGGCGACGAUCCCUAGCUGGUCUGAGAGGAUGACCAGCCAAACUGGAACUGGGACAGGCUCCAGCCUCCUCCGGGGGGAGGCAGGGGGGAUUAUUGCACAAUGGGCGCAAGCCUGAUGCAGCCAUGCGGGGGGUGUGAAGAGGGCCUUCGGGUUGUAAAGCACUUUCAGCGGGGAGGCGUUACCCGCAGAAGAAGCACCGCCUAACUCCGUGCCAGCAGCGCGGUAAUUC